Lingula anatina is the source of this 140-nucleotide non-coding RNA. The record is from Rfam. Lineage: Eukaryota; Metazoa; Brachiopoda; Lingulata; Lingulida; Lingulidae.
AGCUUUGCGCAGUGGCGGUACCAUAGCCAAUGAGGUUUAUCCGAGGCGUGGUUAUUGCUAGUUGAAAACUAUACCCAAUACCCCGUGCUGACGUCGUGAAAUACCGACGGCAGCACAAUUUUUGUACGCCUCUACGGGGG